AGAGUUUGAUCCUGGCUCAGGACGAACGCUGGCGGCACGCUUAACACAUGCAAGUCGAACGAGAGAAGAGAAGCUUGCUUUUCUGAUCUAGUGGCGGACGGGUGAGUAACACGUGAGCAAUCUGCCUUUCAGAGGGGGAUACCGAUUGGAAACGAUCGUUAAUACCGCAUAAUAUAAUUGAACCGCAUGAUUUGAUUAUCAAAGAUUUAUCGCUGAAAGAUGAGCUCGCGUCUGAUUAGCUAGUUGGUAAGGUAACGGCUUACCAAGGCGACGAUCAGUAGCCGGACUGAGAGGUUGAUCGGCCAACGAUCAGUAGCCGGACUGAGAGGUUGAUCGGCCACAUUGGGACUGAGACACGGCCCAGACUCCUACGGGAGGCAGCAGUGGGGAAUAUUGCACAAUGGAGGAAACUCUGAUGCAGCGAUGCCGCGUGAGGGAAGAAGGUUUUAGGAUUGUAAACCUCUGUCUUCAGGGACGAAAAAGGACGGUACCUGAGGAGGAAGCUCCGGCUAACUACGUGCCAGCAGCCGCGGUAAUACGUAGGGAGCGAGCGUUGUCCGGAAUUACUGGGUGUAAAGGGAGCGUAGGCGGGAUCGCAAGUCAGAUGUGAAAACUAUGGGCUUAACCUAUAAACUGCAUUUGAAACUGUGGUUCUUGAGUGAAGUAGAGGUAAGCGGAAUUCCUAGUGUAGCGGUGAAAUGCGUAGAUAUUAGGAGGAACAUCAGUGGCGAAGGCGGCUUACUGGGCUUUAACUGACGCUGAGGCUCGAAAGCGUGGGGAGCAAACAGGAUUAGAUACCCUGGUAGUCCACGCCGUAAACGAUGAUUACUAGGUGUGGGGGGACUGACC
RNAcentral lists this ribosomal RNA (849 nucleotides) under human gut metagenome. Its description in RNAcentral is "bacterial SSU rRNA". It matches the Rfam family "Bacterial small subunit ribosomal RNA", at positions 8 to 837 of the family's 1533-position model. The record is from RNAcentral.